UGGGGAAUAUUGGACAAUGGGCGAAAGCCUGAUCCAGCCAUGCCGCGUGUGUGAAGAAGGUCUUCGGAUUGUAAAGCACUUUAAGUUGGGAGGAAGGGCAUUAACCUAAUACGUUAGUGUUUUGACGUUACCGACAGAAUAAGCACCGGUUAACUCUGUGCCAGCAGCCGCGGUAAUACAGAGGGUGCAAGCGUUAAUCGGAAUUACUGGGCGUAAAGCGCGCGUAGGUGGUUUGUUAAGUUGGAUGUGAAAUCCCGGGGCUCAACCUGGGAACUGCAUUCAAAACUGACUGACUAGAGUAUGGUAGAGGGUGGUGGAAUUUCCUGUGUAGCGGUGAAAUGCGUAGAUAUAGGAAGGAACACCAGUGACGAAGGCGACCACCUGGACUAAUACUGACACUGAGGUGCGAAAGCGUGGGGAGCAAACA
RNAcentral lists this ribosomal RNA (427 nucleotides) under uncultured bacterium. Its description in RNAcentral is "partial 16S ribosomal RNA". It matches the Rfam family "Bacterial small subunit ribosomal RNA", at positions 355 to 774 of the family's 1533-position model. The record is from RNAcentral.